Molecule: small RNA, 1264 nt
Filed under: Pan troglodytes (chimpanzee)
Lineage: Eukaryota; Metazoa; Chordata; Mammalia; Primates; Hominidae
Description: processed transcript
Source: RNAcentral
AAAGAAUAUUAGAAGAAAUUAAAGCAGAAAGAAAGCUGCGGCCUGUAUCGCCAGAGGAGAUUAGACGUAGCAGAUUAGAUGUGACUACCCCUGAAUCUACAAAGAAUCUUGUGGAGUCAUCUAUGGUGAAUGGAGGUUUGACAUCACAAACAAAAGAAAAUGGGUUAAGUACCGCACAGCAGGUGCCUGCACAGCGGAAGAAGCUCCUCAGAGCCCCAACUCUGGCCGAACUGGACAGCUCUGAGUCUGAGGAAGAAACGCUGCACAAGUCGACCAGCAGCAGCAGCGUGUCUCCCUCUUUCCCUGAAGAGCCAGUCCUGGAGGCCGUGUCCACAAGGAAGAAGCCUCCAAAAUUCCUGCCCAUAUCAUCAACACCCCAGCCAGAGAGACGGCAGCCACCCCAGAGACGACAUUCCAUUGAAAAGGAAACGCCUACUAACGUGAGGCAGUUCCUGCCGCCUUCCAGGCAGAGUUCCCGCUCUCUUGUUCCUAGGAUAACCAGUGUAUGGCCAAGGACGCCUUUUCGACCACUUUUUUCUACCAUACAAACAGCUUCUCUGCUCAGCUCUCAUCCUUUUGAAGCAGCCAUGUUUGGGGUAGCAGGGGCUAUGUAUUAUCUGUGUGAGAGAGCUUUUACCAGCAGGUGGAAAUCCUCAAAGGAGGAAUUCUGCUACCCAGUGGAAUGCCUCGCUCUUACUGUGGAAGAAGUGAUGCAUAUUCGCCAGGUCCUGGUGAAGGCAGAGCUGGAAAAAUACCAACAGUAUAAAGACAUCUACACCGCCUUGAAAAAAGGAAAGCUCUGCUUUUGUUGCCGAACCAGGAGGUUUUCCUUCUUCACUUGGUCUUAUACCUGUCAGUUCUGUAAGAGGCCGGUGUGCUCACAGUGUUGCAAAAAGAUGCGGCUGCCCUCCAAACCAUACUCCACUCUUCCUAUCUUUUCAUUGGGACCUUCUGCUCUGCAAAGAGGGGAAAGUAGUAUGAGGUCAGAAAAACCCUCCACUGCCCAUCAUCGGCCACUUCGGAGCAUUGCCAGGUUCUCCUCAAAAUCUAAGUCUAUGGACAAAUCAGAUGAAGAACUCCAGUUUCCCAAAGAGUUGAUGGAGGACUGGAGCACCAUGGAGGUGUGUGUGGACUGCAAGAAGUUCAUUUCGGAAAUCAUCAGUUCAAGCCGGCGCAGUCUGGUGUUGGCCAACAAAAGGGCCCGAUUGAAAAGGAAAACGCAGUCUUUCUACAUGUCCUCGCCAGGCCCCUCGGAGUACUGCCC